UAAGGAAUGCAUGCGAUUGGAAGUGCAUGUCCAAGCAAUGAGUCUUGAGUAGAGUUAAAUGCUUUACUCUUUAAGGACAAGUUGUGACGGGGAGCGAAAUAAUAGUAGCGAAGUUCCUGAUGUCACACUGCCAAGAAAAGCUUCUAGUGAGAAAACAACUGCCCGUACCGUAAACCGACACAGGUAGUCGAGGAGAGUAUCCUAAGGUGAGCGAGCGAACUCUCGUUAAGGAACUCGGCAAAAUGACCCCGUAACUUCGGGAGAAGGGGUGCUGACUUCGGUCAGCCGCAGUGAAUAGGCCCAAGCGACUGUUUAUCAAAAACACAGGUCUCUGCAAAAUCGUAAGAUGAAGUAUAGGGGCUGACGCCUGCCCGGUGCUGGAAGGUUAAGAGGAUGGGUUAGCUUCGGCGAAGCUCAGAAUUGAAGCCCCAGUAAACGGCGGCCGUAACUAUAACGGUCCUAAGGUAGCGAAAUUCCUUGUCGGGUAAGUUCCGACCCGCACGAAAGGCGUAACGAUUUGGGCACUGUCUCAACGAGAGACUCGGUGAAAUUUUAGUACCUGUGAAGAUGCAGGUUACCCGCGACAGGACGGAAAGACCCCAUGGAGCUUUACUGUAGUUUGAUAUUGAGUGUUUGUACCACAUGUACAGGAUAGGUAGGAGCCGAUGAGACCGGAACGCUAGUUUCGGAGGAGGCGCUGGUGGGAUACUACCCUUGUGUUAUGAACCCUCUAACCCGCACCACUAAUCGUGGUGGGAGACAGUGUCAGAUGGGCAGUUUGACUGGGGCGGUCGCCUCCUAAAAGGUAACGGAGGCGCCCAAAGGUUCCCUCAGAAUGGUUGGAAAUCAUUCGAAGAGUGUAAAGGCAGAAGGGAGCUUGACUGCGAGACCUACAAGUCGAGCAGGGACGAAAGUCGGGCUUAGUGA
Molecule: ribosomal RNA, 927 nt
Filed under: Enterococcus faecalis
Lineage: Bacteria; Bacillati; Bacillota; Bacilli; Lactobacillales; Enterococcaceae
Description: partial 23S ribosomal RNA
Rfam family: Bacterial large subunit ribosomal RNA
Source: RNAcentral